CGGGGUGUAGCGCAGCCUGGUAGCGCGCCUGCUUUGGGAGCAGGAUGUCGGGAGUUCGAAUCUCUUCACCCCGACCA
This 77-nucleotide transfer RNA is filed under the name Burkholderiales bacterium. RNAcentral's name for it is "tRNA-Pro". It matches the Rfam family "tRNA". From Rfam's summary of the family: Transfer RNA (tRNA) molecules are approximately 80 nucleotides in length. Their secondary structure includes four short double-helical elements and three loops (D, anti-codon, and T loops). Further hydrogen bonds mediate the characteristic L-shaped molecular structure. tRNAs have two regions of fundamental functional importance: the anti-codon, which is responsible for specific mRNA codon recognition, and the 3' end, to which the tRNAs corresponding amino acid is attached (by aminoacyl-tRNA synthetases). tRNAs cope with the degeneracy of the genetic code in two manners: having more than one tRNA (with a specific anti-codon) for a particular amino acid; and 'wobble' base-pairing, i.e. permitting non-standard base-pairing at the 3rd anti-codon position. The record is from RNAcentral. RNAcentral also lists the same sequence under 2 other names. Lineage: Bacteria; Pseudomonadati; Pseudomonadota; Betaproteobacteria; Burkholderiales.